Molecule: ribosomal RNA, 502 nt
Filed under: uncultured bacterium
Lineage: Bacteria
Description: bacterial SSU rRNA
Rfam family: Bacterial small subunit ribosomal RNA
Source: RNAcentral
GAUGAACGCUAGCGGCAGGCUUAAUACAUGCAAGUUGAGGGGCAGCAUGAUAUACGCGAGUAUAUUGAUGGCGACCGGCGGACGGGUGAGUAAUAGGUAGGAGACCUACCUCAUACAGGGGGAUAGCAUAGAGAAAUCUGUGGUAAUACCCCAUGAGGUUAUAUGAAUAGAGGCAUAUAAUCAAAGCAUAAGCGAUUAUGCGGUAUGAGAGGGGCCUACUGACCAUUAGCUAGUUGGUGAGGUAAGGGCUCACCAAGGCGAAGAUGGUUAGGGGUUUUGAGAGAGAGACCCCCCACAUUGGAACUGAGAGACGGUCCAGACUCCUACGGGAGGCAGCAGUAGGGAAUAUUGGGCAAUGGGCGAAAGCCUGACCCAGCCAUGCCGCGUGAAGGAAGACGGCCUUAUGGGUUGUAAACUUCUUUACUACGCGAAUAGAGGUUAGUACGAGAUACUAAUAGGAAGGUAGUGUAGUAAAAAGCAACCGGCUAAACUCCGUGACCCG